RNAcentral lists this ribosomal RNA (425 nucleotides) under uncultured bacterium. RNAcentral describes it as "partial 16S ribosomal RNA". It matches the Rfam family "Bacterial small subunit ribosomal RNA", at positions 354 to 796 of the family's 1533-position model. The record is from RNAcentral.
GUGGGGAAUCUUGCGCAAUGGGCGAAAGCCUGACGCAGCCAUGCCGCGUGAAUGAUGAAGGUCUUAGGAUUGUAAAAUUCUUUCACCGGGGACGAUAAUGACGGUACCCGGAGAAGAAGCUCCGGCUAACUUCGUGCCAGCAGCCGCGGUAAUACGAAGGGGGCUAGCGUUGCUCGGAAUUACUGGGCGUAAAGGGCGCGUAGGCGGACAGUUUAGUCAGAGGUGAAAGCCCAGGGCUCAACCUUGGAAUUGCCUUUGAUACUGGCUGUCUUGAGUACGGGGGAGGUGAGUGGAACUCCGAGUGUAGAGGUGAAAUUCGUAGAUAUUCGGAAGAACACCAGUGGCGAAGGCGACUCACUGGCCCGUUACUGACGCUGAGGCGCGAAAGCGUGGGGAGCAAACAGGAUUAGAUACCCGUGUAGUCC